Choloepus hoffmanni (Hoffmann's two-fingered sloth) is the source of this 107-nucleotide small nuclear RNA. The record is from Ensembl. Lineage: Eukaryota; Metazoa; Chordata; Mammalia; Pilosa; Megalonychidae.
GUGCUUCCUUCAGCAGCACAUGUACUAAAAUUGGAACAUUGCAGAGAAGAUUAGCAUGGCCCCCAUGCAUGGAUUACACACAAAUUCAUGACACAUUACGUAUUUUU